GUAGGCGAACCUGCGGAAGGAUCAUUACAGAGUUCGUGCCCUUCGGGGUAGACCUCCCACCCUUUGUAUACCUUGCCUUUGUUGCUUUGGCGGGCCGCCUUUUGGCCACCGGCUUUGGUCGGUGCGCGCCCGCCAGAGAACCCAAACCCUGUGUUACUUUGUCGUCCGAGUACUAUAUAAUAGUUAAAACUUUCAACAACGGAUCUCUUGGUUCUGGCAUCGAUGAAGAACGCAGCAUCUGACUGACUGG
Molecule: unclassified non-coding RNA, 250 nt
Filed under: plant metagenome
Description: partial contains small subunit ribosomal RNA, internal transcribed spacer 1, and 5.8S ribosomal RNA
Source: RNAcentral